UUAAAACCAUACACUAUUCCUUCCACUUGAGAAAUAUGCACUACUUUUGUCGGUCCAUUACAUAAAAUUCCAAUUAAAUGCACUGAAGUUUGUAGUUUAACAUGAUAAAAUGUGGAAAAGUUCAAGAAGUAAAAGUAGUUGUGCAAGGCGCUGCAUGUUAGGGCUGUAGAGGGGAGGAGGGAGCUUUUUGUUUGACAUAUGAUGAAAUAUAAAGCUCAAUGUUUGUAUAAAGAAGCUUUUUAAAUGACUUUUUUCCCAUUAAUCAAAGCACAUAAUAAAGCUUUUCACGUUAAACAAGAUAUCUAAUUUCCCGUUUAAAUACGAAGAAAUUUUCAAUGUCUGACCACAAAUGAUUGUGAUUAAUCUUGACUCACAUUGUGCUCUUUCAAAAUAAUGUGGCGAGUCAAGUUUGAUUUAAAUUUUUUUAAUAUGGCUUUUUAGUUUGGAAUGAAUAAGAAGCCCUUUGACGUUUAAUGACGGGCAUUUUUUAAAAACUUGCUGGGAGCCCUUAGGAUUGGCUACAUAAUGUGAUUACUAAGUUAAUCUAAGGUCCUGCUGGCGGCAGCUUAAAGAGUAACGUAGAGGGAGCAGUACAAUCCGUGUUAAUGAAUGAGACAGCUCAUUAUGUCGCAUUCCUGAGGAUUCAAAUGGUUUGCUACUGUGCUGCAAUAUAAAUUAACCGAAGAGAUGGAUGAAAAUUACAUUACCUGCUGCAGGCUAUAAUGCAAUAAGCCCACUGGUUAGUAACAGUCAAAAUGAAAAAGCCUGAUUGCUUUGUGUGUGUGUGUUUUUUUAAGGAGGCUUCCAUUGCUACAUGACCUGUAUAUUUGGGCAGUACUUAGCUGGACUGAAGGAAAUGUGUCUCAGUGGGUCCAAGGUCAAAAAAGCACCAGUGAGCAAAAGCUCAGGCUAGAGGACAGUUUACAUGUGUGGGCUUAGUGCAAGAUAUCGUGAGAAGUGGAAACAGCAUUUUGACAGAUUAAUACUGUUUUCUUUCCUGAGUCUGCUGUAUGUGAACAGUACUCUAACAAUUUGUCCAUAGGGUCACUGAGGAUUUAUUCUUUAACUAAAACUCUACAAACUGUAGGUAAAAAUGCAGAUUGUGCUCAAAGCGAAACCUUGGAAUGUUCUAGUGUCUGACAUCUAAAAGUGCCAGUCUUUGACCUUUAUACUGACUAUAUAUUGGUAUGUACCCUGUGUUUUUACAGUAAAUCAUUUCAGCGACUGGUUUAUGAAUAUACAACAUCUUAUACUACUCUUUUAAAGUUUUAUAUAUAUAUAUAACUAUAUAUAUAUUUAUGUGCAAAUUCCACAAAGUAGAACAUUAACUGUAUGAAUAAGUUAUCUAUGUUUUGUGGGAAAAGUAGCUUUAACAUCACUGUUUUGGUAUAAUCUGCCUGACUCUGUGGUCUGAACAAUCGGAUGUUUAAAGUACAGCUCAGAGUCAGUUCGUCCCCUCACCAGUUUGCACCGACAUGUUGCCAUUUCGUACCCACAACAGAUGUUUAUAUUUCUUUAUACUGAAGUAAUUAAAGAAUUUAGAAACAUAAAAUCAUAAAAUCUCAUACAUAACUAAACUAAUUUGUAUAUUAUUUUCAGAAAACUUUGUAUUUGCAUUUAUUCUGAUCACUGGUCACUCCGGAUCAAACCAAAAAUAUUUCCUGAGUGACCUCCUGCAGGUAGGUGAUAGUGAUUGGAUUCAUAUAAUCUCUUACUCAUAAGACUAUUAGUUUAAUCUUAAAAAUUAGAUAGCAACACUUUGAACCUGGAAAAGUUGGGUACAAAAUGAACAAAAUAGAGAAGGGAUCAAACAACCUGUAGCCUUAAAAUAUGCACUUGGCAUCAAGACAUAACAGCUUCGCUCCAUAACUUGGACUAUAAAAGUUUUUUUCCUUAAAGGUUCUGUAGAAGAAAACAUAGAAACAUGCUUACAAUAGCCUUCACACAUGCAGUCAAAAAAAGAUCUUUGUAAAUGAACUAAACUUUGCAUAUUAUUUUGGCAAGGGAGGAAAUAAAACAUCUUUUUCUGCUAUUAUAUUUCAACUCUCUACCCUUGGUUUUACACAAUUUAAAAAAAUUGUUCAUUUACAUAGAUAAAAAAUAUCUUUUUUUAUAUAUGCCACUGCACAAAAAGAGCAACAGACAACAAAAUGAACCCACAAGUCAAAAAAGAGAAGCAAAUGAGAAUAAAAAGGUUGCAUAAUUGAAUUCACAUUGACAAAUAGAAAAGCAGAGUGUUGGAGAGUAGUAGACUGUUGACUGGGAACUGCUUUUACAGUGAGAGUGACAAACUCCACGGCUGUGUAACCACAGGAGGCUUGAGUCACUAAUGAACGCUGGAUAAACGUAAACCGAAGAAAAGCAGGACACAUUUAUGGCCCUCUGUCUCCUCACUCUAAGGAUAUGUUUGUGUUUCGGACCUGAAUGAAACCAGACAUAACCACAGAACCUAAGAGCACAAGUGAACUCUGUCUGCCGGCUCUUACAUUCAUACAUAUAUAUAUAUAUAUAUAUAUAUAUAUAUAUAUAUAUAUAUUUUUUUUUUUUUUUUUCUUCCAGGAGAAAUGCAUGUUGAGCAUGUGCAUGUGUGCCAUUCAGUAAAAAAAAGGACUCAGACUAGCUCUGACCUGGAGUCUGUGGAGAUUAGAUCAGUGUUGUACUAUGAAGAGACUCUGCAUAUAGCACAGGACGUUGGUUAGGCUUUUAAGCUCGAGGUCACGACUUAGGCUUUUGUUAGAAGCACUGUAAGUAAUAGGUAACCCAACCUCUAUUAUUAGACAUUCCAGCAUGUCAUGUCAGAGAAAUUGUCCUUUCCUAUUGCACGCAGAGAGGAUUGUACCGAUGGCACUGAGCCCCAUAAACAUCCUUGGAGGAAACUAAAUCUGGAGAUAAUCACCUGUAAGAAGCCGGGAGAUUAUGACAGUGGUGAGGAAUGGAGAAUAGAGUCCGUGGGGGAUAUCUGCAGCUGAAUAUUAGCAGAAACCAACUGUUGUCUUUUGGAUACAUGUAGAGCUACUUUGUUAGCAACAUAAAGGAGUAGAUCCUGACAAGGAUCUGUGUGCAGCUGCACAGUUUUUAGCUUGAGCAUAAAAUAUAUAGUUCAAAUUUCGAUUGCUUACUUAAAUGCGUGCUUUAUAUAAAUUGUGUUUUGUUGCUUGAUCAAUGUAAAGCAGUGGUCCCUCCUUGAGUUUUAGCUAAAAUCUUCAGGAAACACUGUAAUUUAGAAAUGCUACAAUUCAGGCUUUAUGGGUCCUGAUGCACAAAACAUCUAGAUUUUUUUCUUUGUUCUGGUGCUUUUUAUUAUGUUUGUACAUAAAUCCCACAGGCACUGCUCUGCAGCAUUUUAUGUGCAUAACAUCAGGUAUAUUUCUAUUUACAACAUUAAAAAUUAUCAGAUUUAUUCUUUCAUGUCCAUAUUAAUACAUACUUAUGGUGUAGCUAACUCUGCAAUUUGGAUGGAAGGGAUAAGGGCACAUAUCGGCACUCAACAGACUUUAGAACUGAAUUAGUUGCUCCUGUUGACUCUGUGGCUUUUUGAGGGAAAAAUACUUAAAAAAAAUUAUUUACAAAGCUGUUUAUAUCUAAAUAAUAAAAUUAAUACAAGAGUUUAGUAUUUUAGUGAAAAGAAAUUAAGAACAGUUAACUUUUUAAAAAUCAUUUUAGAAACUAUUGUGAGCAGUUAGCAUCAUUAGCCAUUAGCUAAAUGUCACAGCAGUAUUUCUUUAAUGUAAUCGGGCAAAUUUUUACAUCAUUUGAUAUAAAUGAAACAUAUUUUUAAUAUAAAACUAUCAUAACAUUUAGGAAAUUGUUUUACUUAGUAAAGCUUUCAUUCUAAAAAUUUUAAAAUUUUAAAAUUUGCAAAAACAAAACAAAAAAAACAAAAAUAGGGGAAAAAUAAGAUCAUGGAAUGGUGGUUUCACGUCUCAAUCACUUCCGAUCGGUCAUGACUACUAAUUUUAUAUUUAAGUGUUCAUUUUAACAUUUUGUUUUAAGAUUUAGCUGUUUACAUCUGAUAUCACUCACUUUCAUUUCAACAUAAUGACUUCAUUAUUAAUAUAUAUUAUAUCAUAAAAAAUUUAUGUUAUCCUGUCCCUGCUUGUAAAAAGUCUCUAACAUGUGUGGAACAUAUUUAAAUUGUGUAUUUUAAAACAGGCUGUGAUGUAUCAAGAGACUAGGGGAAAGCAAAUUUAAAAUGUGUCAAUAUAAACCUCAACUAAUUUGAAACCCAAUAUUUUAUUUUCAUUAUACAUUUCUAAUAUCUUACAUUUCUAAAGCGUUUGUUGGACAUUAAACGCACCACCGUUUGAAGGAUGUAGGUCACAUUACAUGUUGAAAUGUGAGGCUAAAGGGUAUCAGCUGUGUAAAAAUAGGAUGCCAAAGCUCCGAGGGGAGAAGGUGAUGACUUGAGCAUCUGAUUGUCUCAGUCAGCGAAGGCUCGACCCUGAAGAGUGAUAGAAGCACACCGUCCUGGCUGAAAACUUCUUUAGAAUAUAAAACGUAAGGUUCACUGAACUGUCUCUAUAUCUGGUUUCUUCAGCUCCCGCAGUGUUUGCUCUGCACUCUAAAUUAUGCAUUUGUGCAUAUCUGUGAGGGCCCAGAAACACAAUCAUCAUCCCAACAGGGGGUUCCCACAGUCUGCCACUCUUCCUCCUGUCUGCAUUAAACAAGGUGCACCACUCUCUGUCAUCAUUUUCCUUGUCUUUCAUAUUAUUCCCUUAAUUUUCUUUAACUCUGCAUGCAUGCUGAAAUCCAGUCAGGAAAAAGGAAAAAACUAAAUUAAAUCCACUGAGACUGAAAAACAUCACGGCCCCUUAGAGAGAAGCUACAUAACUGUUACACAGCUUGAUCAUUCAAGAAACACUGCUUCAUGUAAACAUGCCUUUAUCAAAUGGCUCACAGGCCUUAAGUGCCCUGAAGGUGGGCAGCUGAUUUUUAGGAAGAAAAACAAAAGUCAAGGCUCUGUGUUGGAAAGAUACAAGUGCUGUAGGUCUGCACUCACUUCAGAUUUAGUCUGAAGAUUAGCAAAAAAAAAAAAAAA
Xiphophorus hellerii (green swordtail) is the source of this 5038-nucleotide long non-coding RNA. RefSeq lists it as uncharacterized. Lineage: Eukaryota; Metazoa; Chordata; Actinopteri; Cyprinodontiformes; Poeciliidae. The record is from RefSeq and is a predicted model, not a curated record. The transcript is spliced from 2 exons.